AUCCUUCCGUUGUUUGUAAAUGUGAUGACUGCAUUUUCAUGUUCACCUAUGAGAUAUGCCUCCCUCAAACACUGUUACAAUUCCAGCACAUUAACCCUCUGAUA
Molecule: small nucleolar RNA, 104 nt
Organism: Nycticebus coucang (slow loris)
Lineage: Eukaryota; Metazoa; Chordata; Mammalia; Primates; Lorisidae
Product: small nucleolar RNA U13
Exons: 1
Source: RefSeq, a predicted model, not a curated record